UACGUAGGGUGCGAGCGUUGCCCGGAAUUAUUGGGCGUAAAGAGCUCGUAGGCGGCUUGUCACGUCGGGUGUGAAAGCCCGGGGCUUAACCCCGGGUCUGCAUUCGAUACGGGCUAGCUAGAGUGUGGUAGGGGAGAUCGGAAUUCCUGGUGUAGCGGUGAAAUGCGCAGAUAUCAGGAGGAACACCGGUGGCGAAGGCGGAUCUCUGGGCCAUUACUGACGCUGAGGAGCGAAAGCGUGGGGAGCGAACAGG
Molecule: ribosomal RNA, 253 nt
Filed under: uncultured bacterium
Lineage: Bacteria
Description: partial 16S ribosomal RNA
Rfam family: Bacterial small subunit ribosomal RNA
Source: RNAcentral